AGUUACCCAAUUCAAGAUUCACAGUGUAAAAGGUGGUAAGACGGCCUUCCCUAAAUUUAGGGCUUAAGGAAAGAAGGGGGUCGAUCCGGGAAGGAUAGGGGUGUAAUCUAAAUAAUCCUCCUAGGAAAGGUGAGUUACUCUCUUUAGGCUGAAGCCACGGAACCGGUGUAUCGGAGACAUGGAUUAGAUACCCAUUUAUUGCCGACGCAAACUUUGCUAAGAGGCGGCUGCUAGAGUACUACGAGCGUGUGCUUAAAACUCAAAGAACUUGGCGGCUCGUUAACUACCCAGGGGAAUAUGCGCCUUAAUCCGAUGAUCCGCGUUACAUCUUACUGUACCUUGAAAGAGAACAGCUGGUGUAUUGCCGUUGUCAGCUUGUUGUUCGAGCAGAAUGGAACAGGCUUAAUGGAACUAGCGAUUCGUCGAUAGGGUCCACGAAUUCAGGUCGUAAUACUGCCAAUGGUACAAGGGAGUGGGUAUUACAAUUCCAAUUCAGAACUACGGACCCUGAAAAGAAUGAAAUUAUCAGGUGAAGGUGGACUUGGGAGUAAGAAAGGAUUAAUAUGCCUUUCUGAACAUGAAUCUAACUUGUGUACAAACCGCCCGUCGCUCUCGCCGGAAGGGGAGAUAAGUCGUAACAGG
Molecule: ribosomal RNA, 642 nt
Filed under: Mimachlamys asperrima
Lineage: Eukaryota; Metazoa; Mollusca; Bivalvia; Pectinida; Pectinidae
Description: partial 12S ribosomal RNA
Rfam family: Bacterial small subunit ribosomal RNA
Source: RNAcentral